UCACGUUCCGUCAUCAUUGAGGUGGAAUAGUGUGUUCGAUUGUGAGCUUGAUGGUCAGUCUGCCUUUCAAUGUGGAUAAAAGUCACCUUGUUGGACCUGAGCCCUAGGACCAUGCCUCAGGACAACCUGGCAUGAUAACUGCUUGCUGUCCCCAGUCCACCUGGCUGUGCUGCUGCUCCAGUUUCAACUGUUCUGCCUGCGGUUAUGGAAUCCUGACCUGGUCACCAGACAUGCUACCUGUCCCAGACCUAUUAUUUGACGAUGCUGGUCAUUUAUGAACAUUUGAACAUCUUGGCCAUGUUCUGUUAUAAUCUCCACCCGGCACAGCCAAAGGGGGCUGGCCACCCCUCAUAGCCUGGUUCCUCUCUAGGUUUCCUAGGUUUUGGCCUUUCUAGGGAGUUUUUCCUAGCCAAUGUGCUUCAACACCUGCAUUGCUUGCUGUUUGGGGUUUAAGGCUGAGUUUCUGUACAUCACUUUGAGAUAUCAGCUGAUGUACGAAGGGCUAUAUAAAUACAUUUGAUUUGAUUUAAAACAUGUUGGUAUUACAGUCUCAGACAGGGAGAGGUUGAAAAUGUCAGUGAAGACACUUGCCAGUUGGUAAGUGCAUGCUCGCAGUACACGUCCUGGUAAUCCAUCUGGCCCUGCGGCCUUGUGAAUGUUGACUUGCUGAAAGGUUUUACUCACAUCGGCUGCAGAGAACGUGAUUACACAGUCUUCCAGAACAGCUGGUGCUCUCAUGCAUGUUUCAGUGUUAUUUGCCUCUAAGUGAGCAUAGAAGUAGUUUAGCUGAUCUGGUAGACUCGUGUCACUGGGCAGUUCUCGGCUGUGCUUCCCUUUGUAGUCUGUAAUGUUUUGCAAGCCCUGCUAAAUCCUACGAUCAUCAGAGCCGGUGUAGUCCGAUUCUACCUUAGUCCUGUGUUGACGCAUUGCCUGUUUGAUAGUUCGUCGGAAGGCAUAUCGGGAUUUCUUAUAAGCUUCCGGGUCAGAAAGCUCCUUGAAAGCGGCAGCUCUUGCCUUUAGCUCAGUGCGCAUGUUGCCUAUAACCCAUGGCUUCUGGUUGGGGUAUGUACGUACGGUCACUGUGGGGACGACGUCAUCUAUGCACUUAUUGAUAAAGCCAGUAACUGAUGUGGUGUACUCCUCAAUGCCAUCGGAGGAAUCCUGGAACAUAUUCCAAUCUGUGCUAGCAAAACAGUCCUGUAGCUUAGCAUCUGCUUCAUCUGACCAUGUUUUUAUUGAUCUUGUCCCUGGUGCUUCCUGCUUAAAUUUUUGCUUGUAAGCAGGAAUCAGGAGGACAGAAUUAUUGUCAGAUGUGCCAAAUGAAACUUGCGGGAGAGCUUUGUAUGCGUCUCUGUGUGUGGAGCAAAGGUGGUCCAGAGUUUUUUUCCCCUCUGGUUGCACAUUUAACAUGCUGAUAGAAAUGUGGUCAAGUUUCCAUGCAUUAAUGUCCCCGCCUACUAGGAGCGCCGCCUCUGGCUGAAUGUUUUCUUGUUUGAUUAUGGCGGAAUACAGCUCAUUCAAUACUG
Long non-coding RNA from Oncorhynchus nerka (sockeye salmon), 1526 nucleotides. RefSeq lists it as uncharacterized. The record is from RefSeq and is a predicted model, not a curated record. The transcript has 2 exons. Lineage: Eukaryota; Metazoa; Chordata; Actinopteri; Salmoniformes; Salmonidae.